This 442-nucleotide unclassified non-coding RNA is filed under the name Galeopsis bifida. RNAcentral describes it as "partial contains external transcribed spacer and 18S ribosomal RNA". Lineage: Eukaryota; Viridiplantae; Streptophyta; Magnoliopsida; Lamiales; Lamiaceae. The record is from RNAcentral.
CGGCAGCGACUGCGUCUCGAGCGGUGCCUCUUCAGUUUUCGGCCCAAGCGCGAGCACGCCUUGGCCGACGUCGGUUUCCUGUGCUGAAUUCCUAGCGAACGGCAGUCCCUCGGCGACACUCGUCCCUCGCUCCUCCCCUCGAAGCGGCUCCUCACGGAGACGCGUCGCGGGGAGGACAUCGAAGCCGCCCUCGCGUUUCGCGCUCCGAGCACUCGUCCCGCACGAUCGCUCGGUCCGUCGACCCGCGGGGGCGCGCUCGGUCCCUCGGAUGCGGAAAAUCAAGCGGCUACGAGGCCACGGCCUCNAUCUGUCCCUCUACUAANGAGAGCUCCCUGCGGACGACCGUCGUCCGGGCCUCGCUCCGCUGCCCCCGCGGCUCGGAGCGUGCCCGGCCGGCGUCGACGAGGAAUGCUACCUGGUUGAUCCUGCCAGUAGUCAUAUG